AUUGUACUCCCUCCGUCCCAUAUUAAGUGACUCAAAUUUGCCCAAAUAUGGAUGUAUCUAUGUCUAAAAAGCGUCUAGAUACAUGUAAUAGAAAGUCACUUAAUAUGGGACAGAGGGAAUAAGAU
This is a non-coding RNA of Brachypodium distachyon (stiff brome), 125 nucleotides long. Lineage: Eukaryota; Viridiplantae; Streptophyta; Magnoliopsida; Poales; Poaceae. The record is from Rfam.